Molecule: ribosomal RNA, 253 nt
Filed under: uncultured bacterium
Lineage: Bacteria
Description: partial 16S ribosomal RNA
Rfam family: Bacterial small subunit ribosomal RNA
Source: RNAcentral
UACAGAGGUGGCAAGCGUUGUUCGGAAUUACUGGGCGUAAAGGGCGCGUAGGCGGUUCGUUAAGUCCUGUGUGAAAUCCCCCGGCUCAACUGGGGAACUGCACAGGAAACUAGCGGGCUUGAGUUCGGGAGAGGGAAGCGGAAUUCACGGUGUAGCAGUGAAAUGCGUAGAUAUCGUGAGGAACACCAGAGGCGAAGGCGACUUCCUGGACAAUUGCUGACGCUCAGGCACGAAAGCGUGGGGAGCAAACAGG